RNAcentral lists this ribosomal RNA (281 nucleotides) under uncultured Enterobacteriaceae bacterium. RNAcentral's name for it is "partial 16S ribosomal RNA". It matches the Rfam family "Bacterial small subunit ribosomal RNA", at positions 1106 to 1382 of the family's 1533-position model. The record is from RNAcentral. Lineage: Bacteria; Pseudomonadati; Pseudomonadota; Gammaproteobacteria; Enterobacterales; Enterobacteriaceae.
CCCUUUUGGUUGCCCAAGGCGGUCCCGGCCGGGAAACUCAAAGGAGACUGCCAGUGAUAAACUGGAGGAAGGUGGGGAUGACGUCAAGUCAUCAUGGCCCUUACGACCAGGGCUACACACGUGCUACAAUGGCGCAUACAAAGAGAAGCGACCUCGCGAGAGCAAGCGGACCUCAUAAAGUGCGUCGUAGUCCGGAUUGGAGUCUGCAACUCGACUCCAUGAAGUCGGAAUCGCUAGUAAUCGUGGAUCAGAAUGCCACGGUGAAUACGUUCCCGGGCCUU